This 465-nucleotide ribosomal RNA is filed under the name Vreelandella stevensii. RNAcentral describes it as "partial 16S ribosomal RNA". It matches the Rfam family "Bacterial small subunit ribosomal RNA", at positions 338 to 795 of the family's 1533-position model. The record is from RNAcentral. Lineage: Bacteria; Pseudomonadati; Pseudomonadota; Gammaproteobacteria; Oceanospirillales; Halomonadaceae.
CCUACGGGUGGCUGCAGUGGGGAAUAUUGGACAAUGGGCGAAAGCCUGAUCCAGCCAUGCCGCGUGUGUGAAGAAGGCCUUCGGGUUGUAAAGCACUUUCAGUGGGGAAGAAAGCCUUGGGGCUAAUACCCUCGAGGAAGGACAUCACCCACAGAAGAAGCACCGGCUAACUCCGUGCCAGCAGCCGCGGUAAUACGGAGGGUGCGAGCGUUAAUCGGAAUUACUGGGCGUAAAGCGCGCGUAGGCGGUCUGAUAAGCCGGUUGUGAAAGCCCCGGGCUCAACAUGGGAACGGCAUCCGGAACUGUCAGGCUAGAGUGCAGGAGAGGAAGGUAGAAUUCCCGGUGUAGCGGUGAAAUGCGUAGAGAUCGGGAGGAAUACCAGUGGCGAAGGCGGCCUUCUGGACUGACACUGACGCUGAGGUGCGAAAGCGUGGGUAGCAAACAGGAUUAGAUACCCGAGUAGUC